GACGAACGCUGGCGGCGUGCUUAACACAUGCAAGUCGAACGGAAAGGCCCUGCUUUUGUGGGGUGCUCGAGUGGCGAACGGGUGAGUAACACGUGAGUAACCUGCCCUUGACUUUGGGAUAACUUCAGGAAACUGGGGCUAAUACCGGAUAGGAGCUCCUGCUGCAUGGUGGGGGUUGGAAAGUUUCGGCGGUUGGGGAUGGACUCGCGGCUUAUCAGCUUGUUGGUGGGGUAGUGGCUUACCAAGGCUUUGACGGGUAGCCGGCCUGAGAGGGUGACCGGCCACAUUGGGACUGAGAUACGGCCCAGACUCCUACGGGAGGCAGCAGUGGGGAAUAUUGCACAAUGGGCGGAAGCCUGAUGCAGCAACGCCGCGUGCGGGAUGACGGCCUUCGGGUGGUAAACCGCUUUCGCCUGUGACGAAGCGUGAGUGACGGUAAUGGGGAAAGAAGCACCGGCUAACUACGU
RNAcentral lists this ribosomal RNA (467 nucleotides) under uncultured bacterium. RNAcentral describes it as "partial 16S ribosomal RNA". It matches the Rfam family "Bacterial small subunit ribosomal RNA", at positions 28 to 506 of the family's 1533-position model. The record is from RNAcentral.